RNAcentral lists this ribosomal RNA (478 nucleotides) under uncultured bacterium. RNAcentral describes it as "partial 16S ribosomal RNA". It matches the Rfam family "Bacterial small subunit ribosomal RNA", at positions 28 to 507 of the family's 1533-position model. The record is from RNAcentral.
GAUGAACGCUGGCGGCGUGCUUAACACAUGCAAGUCGAACGAGAAGUGAAGACGGAAACCUUCGGGCGGAAGGCUUUAUUUCGAGUGGCGGACGGGUGAGUAACGCGUGGGUAACCUGCCUCAUACAGGGGGAUAACAGUUGGAAACGACUGUUAAUACCGCAUAAGACCACAGCACCGCAUGGUGCGGGGGUAAAAACUCCGGUGGUAUGAGAUGGACCCGCGUUCGAUUAACCAGUUGGCGGGGUAACGGCCCACCAAAGCGACGAUCGAUAGCCGAUCUGAGAGGAUGACCGGCCACAUUGGGACUGAGACACGGCCCAAACUCCUACGGGAGGCAGCAGUGGGGAAUAUUGCACAAUGGGGGAAACCCUGAUGCAGCGACGCCGCGUGAGUGAAGAAGUAUUUCGGUAUGUAAAGCUCUAUCAGCAGGGAAGAAAAUGACGGUACCUGAGUAAGAAGCCCCGGCUAACUACGUG